AAUAUGAUUAAGCAGGCCUGAGAAUGCUGUUAUGAAAGAAUGCAAAUAUUUUCCUUUCCAGGGCAUUUGUAUGUCAACAGCUGAUAGGGGGCAGGAGGGGCCCCACAAGGCCACCAAGCACCUCCAGCUGCACAGUAUGUGGCUGCCGUGGAGGAGCCACCGCCGGGAAAAGCAGGCCGGGAGGCCACUGGGGGAGGGAGGACUUUGCAGAGCCUCAGUAGUGCAGCCUGAGAAAUAGGGCUGCCCAGGCUGGGCUCUGGCCGGCCACGCCGCUUUUCCACCUGCGCUCUGCGAGAACCGGCCUGCAGCAGCCUAACUGGCGGCUGAGGUCGGGGGAGGAGGGAGCUGAGACCGUCAGGUGAACAGAAAAGUUAAGGACUGCUCCUGAGGUCACACAGCUGAUGGGGUGUGGCACAGCUGACAGACGCUGGGGUGGCCCCAACGUACCACCUUGCGUCGCCAUCCUGGGAGACUGCUUCACUCAUCCUAGCCCCUGGAGCAGCACCAAGAAAACCCAGAGACCCCUCCUGUCCCCGCUUCUCCCCUGAGGGCCCUCGGCUCUGCCCCUCCCCCACACCCAGACAAGCAGGACACGUGAGAAUCCUUGGCUGGCCGCCCUAACCCUUGCUCCCUCUCUGCCAGGCAACCAUGAUCAGUCUCCUGUUCUCAAGUUCCCUGCCUUCCCCACAGCUGCCAGCCCAUCCAACUCCCCUCUCCUGGUUCUUGGGUCAUGGCCAGCACCCUGGGGAUCUUUCUCACCUUAGUGUUUGUCUCCUCCCCAGUGCCCCUGAGAAACCGGCGUCCGUCCGAGGAGCAACACGACACCCUCGCCCUUCCUCCUGCACAUCUAUGCUUGGCGUGAUUUAGCGGCAGUGUUCUCUGUGGCAGCAUACACUAGGUGCCCAAUGCAUGCAUGCUGAUGAUGUCCACUUGUGCACAUUAGUCUAACUGACAUCACUAGGACCUCACGGGACCUGAAUCCCUUCCCUGUCCCCAGGACAGAGACUGCCAGAGGAGGAAACAGGGCUCCAAGCCAAGUGUGCUCCAAUGUGCCAAAGUCCAGGUUCAAAGCCUGGUGUUUCAGCCCCUCCCACUGCCCCACACCACCCCUCGUCGCCUACAUCCCCUGCGAGGCAGCUACCAGGCAGUCCCCGGGGGACCGGCAGCUUCAGCUUACGGGGUUCAGGAAGGUGUGGCAGCACCCCCCCACACACACUUUAUCCAGGUCCACCUUGGAAAUGCUCUCAGUUCCAGGUCCCGUGCCAAGAUGAGCGACGUGGCCUGUGCCCGUGAGAGCCACAACCCAGAAGAAGACAUACAGGUCAGUCUGAAGAGGAUUGGGACCGAGAGAAGGAGGCCUAGGAGACCACGGGAGCAAUGCUAGCUGGACACUGGGAAAGUUCCAGAAAUGGACCGGAUUUACUAGCUGGGAGCCCCCAGGGGCAGGAACCUCAGGAAUGCUCCCUUGGCCUGCAGCAUCCAGCCUGCCUGUAGAAAUUCAGCAGACUCUCGCCAGCUUGGAACUGCUCAAAAGGGUGUGCAUUCUGAAAACGCUCCUUUGCCGAACGUCUUGCAAUUUCUGGGUUGAUGUUGCUUGGUACCGAUGCGGGCGCUGCCUGUUCACUGUCAAAGACAGGCCAGAAGCCCCGAUGAGAAACGAAAAGAGAAAGCACAUGGAUGAGAGUCACUGACCCAACCAGGGCUGGAAGCAGGCACCAGCACACACGACAGACAAGUCUGCCUCACUGAGAGCCUGUGGCCAUGAAAUGACCCCUGGGCCUCCCUAGAAAGCGAUGGGGAAGCCACUGAACGGCAACUGAGGAGGGAAGAGGAAAUUAUUCCUUUUUAUGAUGCUCACUUUGUGUAUAAUGGAAAAGACAGAUGCAGGGGAGGGAAAUAGUUAAGAAACUGAUCAUUUAUUCAAUUUACAUAUGACAUCAAAAGCAUAAA
Non-coding RNA from Oryctolagus cuniculus (rabbit), 1950 nucleotides. NCBI's taxonomy places the organism in Eukaryota, Metazoa, Chordata, Mammalia, Lagomorpha, Leporidae. The record is from RefSeq and is a predicted model, not a curated record.